This 497-nucleotide ribosomal RNA is filed under the name uncultured bacterium. Its description in RNAcentral is "partial 16S ribosomal RNA". It matches the Rfam family "Bacterial small subunit ribosomal RNA", at positions 28 to 507 of the family's 1533-position model. The record is from RNAcentral.
GAUGAACGCUGGCGGCGUGCCUAAUACAUGCAAGUCGAGCGAAACUUCGAUAUCCCCGCUUCCCUGAAGUUACCGGCGGACGGUUGAGUAACAAGUGGAUAAGCUACCUGUAAGCCUGCGAUAACUACGAGAAGGAGAACACAAGACCACAGAUGCUUUUGCAGCACAAGGAUCAAUACUGCAUGACAGCCUUGUUGUCAGUUACUAUUCUACCGGCUUUGCAUUAGCUAGUUGGUAAGGUAAAGGCUUACCAAGGCAAGGAUGCGUAGCCGACUUGAGAGGGUGAUCGGCCACACUGGAACUGAGACACGGCCCAGACUCCUACGGGAGGCAGCAGUAGGGAAUCUUCCGCAAUGGGCGAAAGCCUGACGGAGCAACGCCGCGUGAGUGAUGAAGGUCUUCGGAUCGUAAAACUCUGUUGUUAGGGAAGAAAAUGUGUGAGAGUAACUGUGCACGUCUCGACGGUACCUAAUCAGAAAGCCACGGCUAACUACGUG